Long non-coding RNA from Fukomys damarensis (Damara mole-rat), 1209 nucleotides. RefSeq lists it as uncharacterized. The transcript has 3 exons. The record is from RefSeq and is a predicted model, not a curated record. Lineage: Eukaryota; Metazoa; Chordata; Mammalia; Rodentia; Bathyergidae.
CAAAUCACCGACAGGAUCCCAACUUUGGCAUCUUGUUUUUCCAUAGAUCAUUAGGUUGAUGUGCGGUGUCCAGACAGUCUGCACAGUGUGACGGGAGGAACCAGGUCCUGGGUGUGAGGACUCCGACUCAGGCUCGCUCUGCCCUGAGCAUGUUAGCCCUCCUCACCCGGCUUCUGUUCUGUCACUCAGAACAGCUCUGGGCUGGUGAUCAAAGCCCUCUUGCAUCACUUGUCAGCUAGUAAAGGAACAAGUCAGGCAAGAUGCUUAAGGAGGCUGGAUUUAAUUUCUUCAUAUGUAAAACAGAUUGGUAAUACCUCUGUCACAGGGCUGCAAAAAUUCAAAAAUCUGCAAAAUCUGGGACUGUGUUUUGUCCUUUGGAGCUGUGGCAGCAGUUUUGUGACCAUGAGGCAAAAAUCACAAGGCUGAGGAUAUCAUAGUAUAAAUCUAGAACAAGCCUGUGUACCGUCCAGAUAGCAGAAGGGCACAGGCCAAGACUGGCCUGAAUUCUGGAAGCAGAGGCGUUCCAGGGCCACUUUUGAUCACAAUGCUCCCAACCUGGGCCUUACCAGUGUCUCCACUCGGCUGUGGUCUGAGUAAUCGUCCUCACCGAAGUUCAGGCCUGCACGACAGCUGGAAGACCGGCCGAGGGACGGGGCUCUUUCCCAGAGGUGGGAAGUAGCUCCCAGUUGUGCCGCUCCCGCAGGUGUGACCUGACCCUAAAGCAGCACUGUCUGCAGCCCCAGGAUGAGGCCAGCCCAUCUGUCCGCUCUGGGGUGAGGCUGGGGCCCCUUUGCUCCUCCUCUGUGUCACCCGGGUGAACCUGGCGCCCCGGCUGCUCCUCAAGGUUGGACGCUGCUCACCCCCUCUGGGCCGCAGACUCUGCUGCCAGAGCCUCUGGCUUGGGGCUCUGCUCUCCUCCCAGCAGAUGCUCCUGGCUCACAGCUGCCCCGCUCCAGUCCCGUUCCCCCGCACCCCUCUAACCCCACGCACCCCCUUCGCAGACCCAGCAGGACCCAGGUCCACCAGUUGAGCCAAGGUCGCAAGACUGCCCGGGCCUCCCGCCACCUUCCCGUGAUUCCGUUUCUUCUUAGCUGCCAGACGAAAGGUCGCUUCACCUAGGCGGACUCCGGUUCCAGAAGCAGUAGCAGCCGCAGGAGAUGCGAACUGCACAGGGCUUUUCUUUGCUCACUGGGUGUGACACCAAGGAAA